This 4689-nucleotide long non-coding RNA is filed under the name Homo sapiens (human). RNAcentral's name for it is "HSALNT0222897". Lineage: Eukaryota; Metazoa; Chordata; Mammalia; Primates; Hominidae. The record is from RNAcentral.
CGCUCUUCUUGCCCAGGCUGGAGUGCAAUGGCGCGAUCUCCGCUCACCGAAACCUCCGUCUCCUGGGUUCAAGCGAUUCUUCUGCCUCAACCUCCCCAGUAGCUAGGAUUACAGGCUUGCGCCACCAUACCCGGCUAAUUUUGUAUUUUUAGGAGAGAUGGGGUUUCUCUGUGUUGGUCAGGCUGGUCUCAAACUCCCGACCUCAAGUGAUCCACCCGCCUUGGCCUCCCAAGGUGCUGGGAUUACAGGUGUGAGCCACUGCGCCUGGCCUGACGUUUUUUUUUUUUUUUUUAAAGCAACGAGUUCCUUUGUUACUGCUUUUUAAAAAUAGAAUAGCUUGCCAUUUGAGAAUUUAUUAUUUUUAUUUAUUUUUUUAGAGACGGGGUUUUGCCAUGUUGCUCAGGUUGGUCUGAAACUCCUGGCCUCAAGUGAUCCUCCCACCUUAGCCCCCCAAAGCACUGGGAUUACAGGCCUGAGCCACUGCACCCAGCAAGGUCCUUUGUUCAAAGAAAAUCUUAUUCAGAAGCCUAAUGUGUAAGAGAUCAAGGUGGGCCUUGUUUUGGUUUAAGUGAGGACAGCCUGGGCACUGCAGUCUAUUCCUUCACAUCUCUCUCAUGCAGCCUCCCUAACAGCCACAUAGUCCCUUCGAAGACUUCUAAUGAACCCACAUUUCAGAUCUUGUUCAUUCGUCCCAGCCACUACCUACCUCUCAGCAGCCUGUGACAAAGCAGCCUGGCUUUGUGCUCAGUUACCUCUGCCUGUUCAUUAGUAUCCUUCAGCAGCUUUUCUUCCUCCGCCCAUUACCUAAAUGUUGGUGACAUCCAAACGUAUCUCCUCUCUUGCCUUCCUCAUUCUCACUUCAAGGCUCAUUGCUUCUGUCUAACUAAGUCCUAAACUGACAUCUCCAGACCAGUAUCUGCCCUGCACAUCAGACUCCAGACUUCCACUGGAUGCUGGCCACAGAAAAUUUUUUAUUAAAAAUACAUUUUUUCACAGAAGAAAAUUCAUUAAAAGUCAAGAAAGAGCCCCCAGAUGAAAUGGCUGACCUUUACUCAGGUGCACAUCUGGCCAGUCUUGAGGCUUUAAGACAAACUACGCAGCAGCAUUAGAGAAGUAGUAGAUUAUAAUGUGCGGGGAGGGGAGACGGACGUGAGCCUGGAGUCUGAGAGGGGCACUGUACCGUUUUUUCCAACACCCCCAGCUAGGAUUCUAGUGGAGUUAGCUAUGUCCACCAUGGCCUUAGCCUGAAAAAUAUGGGCAUUUAAGACUUCAGCAGGCCACAUUUAGCUCAAACAGGAGGAUUUUAUGACAGCCAAGGUAAAGAAGGGAGAUUUAAACAUUGUAACAGGUUUCAAGGUGCUAGAUUUUUUUUCCCCCAAGAAAACAUCUCCAAGUAAAAGUGAUAUAUUUCUAUUUGUGGAGAAGAUCCUAGUCUUCUCUGUAGUCAAUUAUGAACAGUGCAGUCUAGAACACUUGAUAUUCACAAGUGUUGUGUAAAGGUAACUAUAGGGCGGAUACCUCCUAAGAGAAAAAGAUGGUUCCCAGGCUGAUGGGCAUUUCCAUUCCUGCCCUUGGUAGGCUCACAGUGGUUUGUGGGAGUAACCAAGGCCAGAGAGAAAUCUAAGGACUAGGUUGGGAGCUAUAGGACCCUUGGUCUGUUCAUGCUUUGCCUCUGAGAAACCCUGUAGACCCCACAUUAAGAAACAGGGAAACUUUAAAGGCCUAUAGGCUGGUCUUGGAGAUGACAGAGACCUGACCUGCUUUUCCUCCAAUUGGAAGGCCAAGGGGGAAGAGAACUGAGGGAAGCUAGGGAAGUAGCAGCAGCUUGAAAGAAGAGACUCUGAAAACACACUAAAACUGGAGAGGCUGGGUGUGGUGGCCCAUGCCUGUAAUCCUCUCACUUUGGGAGGCCGAGGCAGGAGGAUUGCUUGAGGCUGGAGUUCGAGACCAGCCUGGGCAACAUAGUGAGAUCCUGUCUCUAGAGAGAGAGAGAGAAAAAAAAAAAAAGCUGGGUUCCUGCUUGAGCCCAGUUGUUGAGACUGCAGUGAGCCAUGAUCAUGCCACUCCCCUCUAACCUAGGCAACAGAGUGAGACUCUGUCUCUGAAAGUAAAAAAAAUGAAAAGUGGGGAGUGCUAGUGGGAGCCAACUCAACCCAAGUAAAGGCCUAAUAGCUCCUCUAUGGGUGUUUGCACUGUCUAACAAAGAACUGGACCCUGACAGUCAGAGGACCCAUGGUAGGAUCAUCUAGUGUAGCCCCUUCUUUUACAGAGGGAACCUAGGACUUGGGUUUGGUUCAGUGGUAAGACCUCAAAACCACAAAAGAGCUGGGUCACUCUAGAGAAGCUUUUCUACUUGGCCAAUGCCUCUUGGCCCAAUUCCCUCUAGGUCUCUGAUUUAUAAAAGUUUUUGUAUGUGUGUCUGUCUGUCCCAAGAGACAGGAAGCAUUCCUUUCAGGGAAGGAACCAAAUUUCCCUAGGGCUAUGAUGCUAAAUAGUCCAUUCUCCCAAGAACAAGUCCUACUCUGUCAUUUACCUGCAUACUGUCACAUGAAGACUGAUAAGGGUGGGCCUCCGAGGCUGAGGAUGCUGGGGCACCCUUCGUCUCAGGAGUCCCAUCCUAGCCAAUGAGGAUGGGCAAGAUGAAGGGAGCAAUGGGAAAAAGGACACAGGGAUUAUCUCAUGUUUGAAAAAUUAUAUAGCAUGGGAAUGUUAGAGAAAGGUGAAACAAACAGCCAUCAAAUCAGAAGCAGAAGCCUGCUUUAGCUCAGUGUUUUCUUCUUUCCUGAACACUGUCUUUCUUUUUUAUUUAUUUAUUUUUUUUGAGAUGGAGUUUUACUCUUGUUGCCCAGGCUAGAGUGCAAUGGCGCGAUCUCGGCUCAUUGCAACCUCUGCCUCCCAGAUUCAAGUGAUUCUCCCAUUUCAGCCUCCCGAGUAGCUGGGAUUACAAGCACAUACCACCACACCCGGGUAAUUUUUAUAUUUUUAGUAGAGAUGGGGUUUCAUCAUAUUGGUCAGGCUGGUCUCAAACUCCUGACCUCAGGUGAUCUGCCCACCUCGGCCUUCCAAAGUACUGGGAUUACAGGCAUAAAGCCACUGCACUUGGACCCUGAGCAUUUUCUCUUGCUUUGUUCACUAAGUCUCCUGUAUGAGAACCCUGACUUGCCAAACAGAUUCUGGGUUGCGUCUCUGCCUUCCCUUUCCUUUACCUCCUCCUUUAACACCUAACACAGGUAGGUUCACGCUGGUAAAAGCUACAAACAAUGGCAGUGGGAGGAGUUCCUCUGAGUUUUACUGAAAAUUUAGGAGACAUCAAUUUGUUAACUCUCUAUAGGGUCAGAAACAUGAACUAAAUCUAUGGUUCCCAAACCUGGAUAAUCCUGUCACUCACUAACAACCUACUGGAUGGGCCCAGAAAUCAGCAUUUUAUGGAGCUGAAGUGAUAGAUAACCUCACCAGUCUUCAGAUAUGCAAUGAGGAACUCAUGCAUAACCUUAAAUUCACAGGGCAGUCGGGUUACAGCCUCUUCAAAUAAAUGACAAUUUAAAGUUACCUCCUCCAGGCCGUUUAUCAUUAAUCCCAUUUCUUACAUGUUCCACCAAACCCCUGACCUCUCUGGUUUCUCAGAUUUCCAAGAAUCUCUGUUCACUUCUUAUGUUUGUGCACUCCCAAGAGAAUGGAGGCUCAUCUGGAGAAGGAACUAGAUUAAUCUUCUGCUCUACACUUGAGCUCCUGAUUAUGGUAAGAAACUCGAUAAAAAUUUAUUGGCAGAUCAGAAGAUGGAUCCUUAGAGGAAGUCUAGUGUAAGAGGUGAAAGAAGAUACUUUGGAGUCAGAUGGUCUGGGAUCCUGGCUGUAGCAAAUUAACAUUCCUGUCUCUCAAUUUUUUUCUUCUGUCAAUACCUACCUCAAAAGGUUGUUGAGGGUGAAUGAGAUGAUACCUAGAAAUUACUCUGAACAGUGCCUGGAAUAGAGUGAGCAUCCAGUAAAUUGGCUGCUAUGACUAUUAUUAAGAACACCCCAAUAUUUCCCAGCCACAACUGCCCCAACUGGGCAGGCCAUCAACAGCCAACAGAUAUGGAGUCUCCUGGGGAGAAUGAUAACCCCUUUGGUACGCUGCAGACAUGAGGACCCUACAUCAGGAGGUCCUAGCUAGGACAGUCAGUCACCAACCCUGUCACCCUUCGCGUCUACUACAUGAAGCAUGGGCACAAGAACAACAACCUGGAAUUUAAGAACUUUUUUUACUCUGAAAGGAGAGCUAAACAAACCUCUGUUCUCCAAACACAAGAUCUCCAUCUUCCAUGCAGUGAAGAGACCACAGGCUUUGUAAGCAGACCAACUUGAGCUCGUUUUAGAGCAAAUCACUGUAACCCUCUGGACCUCACCUUCCUCAUCUAUAUAGAAAUGAGAAAGGGGUGCACAGGAGAAGGGAGAGAAGAUAAUAUCUCACUGAAUUGUUGUGAGGUUUGAAUGAGGCAGGGUGGGGGAAAAGCACCUAGCAUAGUGCUUAGCACAUCUCAAGCACUGAACUGGUGCUGGUCCCUCUGUCCAGAGAUAGGGCCAUGGCCUACAGACAAGGUGAACUCAUAGUGUCAGAACUCAAAGUCUCAGAUACUGAAGGCUUGGGUCCCUCCCUGCCUCCCUCAUCCCUCCCAGACCAGCUCCUGGACCCCCUCCCUCAUGUCCCAGG